Molecule: long non-coding RNA, 2666 nt
Filed under: Mus musculus (house mouse)
Lineage: Eukaryota; Metazoa; Chordata; Mammalia; Rodentia; Muridae
Description: long non-coding RNA chr7:70551722-70554388
Source: RNAcentral
GGUGAGGGUACAGGGGACAUUUGGGAUAGCAUUUGAAAUGUAAAUGAAGAAAAUAUCUAAAAAAAAAAAAUUAAAAAAAUAACAAAAAAAUUGAAAAACAAAAGACAAAGCAACUACAAAAAAGUCCACUUUGGAGAUGAUACCUGCAAUGGUAACGAUUAGGAGCAGGAGCAGGACCAGGAGGAUGACAAUGAGUUUGAGGCCAGUUCAUGCUUAUCGCAAGACCCUGUCUCAUAAAUCAAACAACGUAGGUAAGACUUAAGAAGGACUACCACUAGGGCCAUUAAACAAAACGCAGAGUAUCCAGGGCUACAGCACUUUGCAGGCAUAAGAAUUCGUGUCUUUACACAAGUUCUGACUGCAUGAAAAAGUCCCCACUGUGGCCGUGAUGUAGACAAGAAAACAGCCUUCAAAUGCUACCAACGCUUUGACACUGGUUUCUGUUAUCUUUAGAAUGCUCUACAGCCUAUAAAUAACUGCAUCUAGAAACACGAAUCUCAUAAUCUGGAUAGAAAGGGAAGUCUUGAGAGGAAAACAAAGAAAGAACAUGUAAUAGAAGACCAAGGAACUGCUCAUCGGUCUUUGCGUCCACGGGCAGUUCGGACUUGCACGCCCCAAGGUCAAGUUCAUGGAGUCAGCUGUACUCUGUUCCUGGGCUGACUAUUCCUCACCAACUUUCCUCUACACUGCUGCCUAUGUUUCCUAACCGAAGACCCUUAAAGCUUUGCUAAUUGCUCACUGAACACAGUGACAAGGCCUUCCUAGUUCCCAGCUCAAAUCUUCAAACCGAUGCCUCUCAUGCUUCCUCAUCUCUUUUAGUCCAACACUUAGGAAACUCGUCACCUGUCACCUUUAUGACAUUCCUCUCCUUGCCCCUCCCCCACCCCAGUUUGCUUCCAGUUCCCAGAAUGUUCAUCCUGAAUUAACCUCGCCCUUAUUUCCUCUAUGUAAUUUACGCCUCUCUUCUAUUGCUUUCACGAGGAUUUCGUUUCCUGCAUGGUGACUUGUGUCUCUACUGAGUUGAGACUCUCCUCUUCCCCAAAAGCCAUGGCAUCUCUUGUGUUCUUUACAGAGUGAUAGCCUGUGUUACAGCCACCUGAGAGUUUGUGAGCACUGCCUUUAAAUGUUCCCACUACAAGGCUCCUAGAGAGCUGCCCCAGGAGCCGGCCUUCCUAACAAGUUCCUGGGGUUUGCAGCUGUUGCUGCUGACACAAGGCUGACACAUUUGAGAAACACUACUUGCCAAAAUACAAAGAAGAGUGGAGGUCAAAUGUAGAAUCCUCUGUCUGGGUGUAGCAGAGAAGACAGGUUUUAUAGCGUGCUGUUUAAACGUGGAAAGUCAUGUUUGGUUUCCGCAUCCCUAGCUUAAUCUUUGAUCAAGCAGCUAACCCUUCGAAGUUUUCACUUCCUGGUCAGACAGCUGGGGCCAUCCUUAACUCUGUUAGAGGUUUGUUCUGCAAGGCCAAAUCCAAAUCCAAAAGGGAUCAUGCUACAAAAUGUUCUGGAAAUGCUUGCUACUAAUCCUUACCUAUGUAUUCCACACGUUUCCUUUAAAAGAAAGGGUUUUUUUUUUGUUUUGUUUUGUUUUUUUUGUUUUUUGCCCAGCUACAGCAGUUUAUCUCAAAACAUUUUCUUGGACUUUUGACUAAAGAACAUUUCCUUUGAGAUUAAUGCAAUAGUAAUUUCCAUUUCAUUUGAAGAGGCUUUGAAAAGUAAGGAAUCAGGUACAUCAAAAUAAUUAUUUUAUAAAGGAGCUAGCAUUGAAAAAAAUAUAAUGUAUAAAACCAGGUUGCUGAAGCAAAAUGUCAUCUCCCACUGCUUUGUCAGUCCAAGGCAUUUAGUCGUUGCAGGAACAUUAUAAAACAUAGUUCAAUUUUCUUUAUUGUUACUUUUCUUGGGGGGGGUUGGAGUUAUUUUUUUUAUUAUGGAUUUUAUGAUAAAUAACUGAGCUUCAACAGCACUUUUGAAUUUGCUAGACAUUAAAACAAUAGAGAAAGACCAUCUUAUAAAUUGAAACUCACAUGUGUGAACACUAAAUGCUGGGAUUUGAUUUCUUUGUUUCUAUAGAAACAAAAGAAAAUUGAGAUUAAAAUAAGCUAAAAUGGAAUGUGUUUUAUGAAAUAGAUAAAGGAGCUUAUUUUACUUGUGGGCUGUGCAGUGUGGUAAAAAUUUUUACAUUUAAAAUCCAAGCUGUCUUUGGACCAUUCUGCCUUAUUAUAAGGAAAGGGCCAAUGGAAUGGGGGUUGGGCUGGAGACUCCAAAGUAGAGGUUCAGUGUAGGAUGCCAUGCUGCUAUGGUGAAUAGGUAGUUUGAUAUCAGCAGAAUAGCCAAUCUUUUUGUUGUUUCCUUCUUCUUAGAGACAUUUCAGUGGCUGGCUGGAUAAGGGGCAAUGAAAACAGUCUUCAAUGUAAAAACCAAGGCCAAUAACUUCUGUGGUGUUAAAGUCUUGGAAACAGUUUAGCCAAGACUGUUAUCAGUGAUAAUGAGUCCUUGUGUUGCUAAAAACAGACCAACAGCCAGGUAAUAGUGGUGUAUUUCUUUAGUGUCAGAACUUGGGAAGCAGAGACAGAUAGAUCUUUGUUCAAGGCCAGCUUCAUCUACAGAGAGUUCCAGGACAGCCAGGGUUACACAGAGAAACCCUUUCUUGAAAAAGAAACAACAACAAC